CCGAAGGAGGGAGCUGUUGGAUGACUGACAAGCUUCUGCCACCAAAUGACUUCAGACUUACACAAGUUAUAUAGUAGCUCCAUGUAAGCUAAGGUACAGGUUAGUGUAGUGAAUCAAAUGCAUCAGGGUGGGGUCCUGGAAAGCUGAAGACUCCAUGGUCAGGUUGGCGGGAGGUUCACAGCGCUUAAUACGCCCUAAUAGGAUUACCUGUCACAAGCCGGGAUGCCCAGCUUGCAUCUCAGCUGGUGACACUAUUCACAGCAAGCACAGGGAACACACUGUCCACGGCUAUGUUUAUCCUUAUUGUUUGUUUCCAUGAAAGUUUUCGAAUUUAGUUCAUUUAUUUUUCCAGUAGAUAAACUCUCUAUGGGGUGAUGUGUUGACAUUUACAUAGUGUGGCUUUAAUCAAGUCUAAUGGGGCUGCUGGAUAAACUCUCGGGCUGGCUGGGCCUGAGGAAGAAAGAAGUCAACGUUUUGUGUUUGGGGCUCGAUAACAGCGGCAAAACCACCAUCAUCAACCAACUCAAACCAUCCAAUCAUUCGAAUCAUUUAGGCCCAUUGUCAGGAGAAUGGAAACAUGCUAGUCAGACGCAGACACAAGAAAUAGUCCCAACAAUUGGCUUCAACAUUGAGAGGUUCAAGAGUUCAAGCCUGUCAUUUACAGUCUUUGAUAUGUCUGGGCAGAGCAGAUAUAGAAACCUAUGGGAGCAUUGUUACAAAGAAAGCCAUGCCAUCAUAUUUGUCAUCGACAGCGGUGACAAACUGAGGAUGGUUGUUGCCAAAGAGGAGCUCGACACUCUACUCAAUCAUGAAGAUAUCCGCAAUAGAAAGAUGCCUGUCUUGUUCUUCGCCAACAAGAUGGAUCUGAGGGACGCCAUGUCUUCUGUCAGGGUCUCACAGUUGUUGUCUCUGGAGAACAUCAAAGAAAAACCCUGGCACAUCUGGUAUUUCACACCAGUCUUUAGUUCAUUUCUUCUGAUUCUGUUUUCAAAGGAAUAUUUUGCCACCACCAGAGGUAUUGUUGAGUCGUGGGCUCUGGCUACUGUUAUGUAGUCUUGAAGUAACACGCAACAUGUUGUGCUUCUAGAGUUUAGGCUUAAAGUCUUAAAUAGAAACAAUAAAGAUACCAUGGAUGUUUACUCACUUCUUCCUUGGCCUUUUUCCAAUAUCUGCAUGUUCAUGUUCCAGGUUCAACCUUAUUGAGGCACAGCAACAGGAAGUUAUUUAAAAGCCUGGUUAGUACUGUAUACGUGUGUUUACCACCUUGUUUACUCAUUAGACAGAUGGAAGGCAGAUGGAUUAAGAGCUAGAAAGCUUUAAACAUCAAGGGUCCAAAAAAAGUCAAGAGAAAGCGAACAUGUGUGACGGGGAGAUUAACUUCUGGUCAUCUUCUUAUUUUCUCAGUGCUAGCGAUGCUAUCAAAGGAGAGGGUCUACAGGAAGGGUUGGACUGGCUACAUGAACAAAUUUCACAAAUACAUGAAAACAGUGAAAACGUGAAUAAUUGAAAUGUCUGUGACCAUGGC
Gymnodraco acuticeps is the source of this 1525-nucleotide RNA transcript. It is a transcript of the gene named ADP-ribosylation factor-like protein 6, with no coding region annotated. The record is from RefSeq and is a predicted model, not a curated record. The transcript has 9 exons. NCBI's taxonomy places the organism in Eukaryota, Metazoa, Chordata, Actinopteri, Perciformes, Bathydraconidae.